This 255-nucleotide ribosomal RNA is filed under the name uncultured bacterium. RNAcentral describes it as "partial 16S ribosomal RNA". It matches the Rfam family "Bacterial small subunit ribosomal RNA", at positions 524 to 776 of the family's 1533-position model. The record is from RNAcentral.
UACAGAGGGUGCAAGCGUUGUUCGGAAUUACUGGGCGUAAAGCGUGCGCAGGCGGUGAUGUAAGACAGAUGUGAAAAUCCCCGGGCUCAACCUGGGAACUGCAUUUGUGACUGCAUCGCUGGAGUGCGGCAGAGGGGGAUGGAAUUCCGCGUGUAGCAGUGAAAUGCGUAGAUAUGCGGAGGAACACCGAUGGCGAAGGCAAUCCCCUGGGCCUGCACUGACGCUCAUGCACGAAAGCGUGGGGGAGCAAACAGG